CGUGAAUAUUUAAGGACCUGUGUGACAAAAUCAUAUUUCAUUACACAAAGCAGUCCUAAGGACUUCAUCACAUCGGAGUUUGUGAAGAUGUUCUGGUGAUGAAUAAAUACCAUGUUAUUUAUAAUUGAUUCAAAUACAUUUACAAUUAACAAUUGAUUGGAUUUAGGACACAAUUCCUAACAACUCCCACUUGACCUAAAACCAAUCAGUACAGUAUCGUAUACCCAUCUUCAAGUAAUGAUGGUCAAACUCCUUUACACUGAGGGCCUUAGUGAAGGGGUCGGCUAAGUUAUCCUUUCC
This 300-nucleotide long non-coding RNA is filed under the name Phoenix dactylifera (date palm). RNAcentral describes it as "long non-coding RNA (PDAC_LNC021554)". The record is from RNAcentral. Lineage: Eukaryota; Viridiplantae; Streptophyta; Magnoliopsida; Arecales; Arecaceae.